GUUGGUGAACCAGCGGAGGGAUCAUUACCGAGUUUUCAACUCCCAACCCCUGUGAACAUACCUAUCGUUGCUUCGGCGGACACGCCCCGGCGCCCCCGGGCCCGGACCAAGGCGCCCGCCGGAGGCCAAAAAACCACUGUGUAUUAUGUUUUCUUCUGAGUUAAACAAGCAAAUAAAUCAAAACUUUCAACAACGGAUCUCUUGGUUCUG
RNAcentral lists this unclassified non-coding RNA (210 nucleotides) under rhizosphere metagenome. Its description in RNAcentral is "partial ribosomal RNA internal transcribed spacer region". The record is from RNAcentral.